GAUGAAGGCUGGCGGCGUGCCUAAUACACGCAAGUCGAGCGAACAGACGAGGAGCUUGCUCCUCUGACGUUAGCGGCGGACGGGUGAGUAACACGUGGAUAACCUACCUAUAAGACUGGGAUAACUUCGGGAAACCGGAGCUAAUACCGGAUAAUAUAUUGAACCGCAUGGUUCAAUAGUGAAAGACGGUUUUGCUGUCACUUAUAGAUGGAUCCGCGCCGCAUUAGCUAGUUGGUAAGGUAACGGCUUACCAAGGCAACGAUGCGUAGCCGACCUGAGAGGGUGAUCGGCCACACUGGAACUGAGACACGGUCCAGACUCCUACGGGAGGCAGCAGUAGGGAAUCUUCCGCAAUGGGCGAAAGCCUGACGGAGCAACGCCGCGUGAGUGAUGAAGGUCUUCGGAUCGUAAAACUCUGUUAUUAGGGAAGAACAAAUGUGUAAGUAACUAUGCACGUCUUGACGGUACCUAAUCAGAAAGCCACGGCUAACUACGUG
This 497-nucleotide ribosomal RNA is filed under the name uncultured bacterium. Its description in RNAcentral is "partial 16S ribosomal RNA". It matches the Rfam family "Bacterial small subunit ribosomal RNA", at positions 28 to 507 of the family's 1533-position model. The record is from RNAcentral.